CAAUAGCGUAUAUUAAAGUUGUUGCAGUUAGAACGCUCGUAGUCGGAUUUCGGGGCGGGCCGACCGGUCUGCCGAUGGGUAUGCACUGGUCGGCGCGUCCUUCCUUCCGGAGACCGUCCCUACUCUUAACUGAGCGGGGGCGGGAGACGGGACUUUUACUUUGAAAAAAUCAGAGUGUUUCAAGCAGGCAGCUCGCUCUUGCAUGGAUUAGCAUGGGAUAAUGAAAUAGGACUUAGGUGCUAUUUUGUUGGUUUCGAACACCGAAGUAAUGAUGAGAAGGGACAGUCAGGGGCACUCGUAUUCCGCCGAGAGAGGUGAAAUUCUCAGACCAGCGGAAGACGAACCACUGCGAAANCANNNGCCAGGGAUGUUUUCACNGA
RNAcentral lists this ribosomal RNA (380 nucleotides) under uncultured eukaryote. Its description in RNAcentral is "partial 18S ribosomal RNA". It matches the Rfam family "Eukaryotic small subunit ribosomal RNA", at positions 592 to 976 of the family's 1831-position model. The record is from RNAcentral.